ACGAACCGUGCGAACGUUGUUCGGAAUCACUGGGCUUAAAGGGCGCGUAGGCGGACAAGCAAGUCGAAGGUGAAAUCCCACGGCUCGACCGUGGCAGUGCCCCCGAUACUGCUUGUCUGGAGGGAGAUAGGGGCGUGCGGAACUUCCGGUGGAGCGGUGAAAUGCGUAGAUAUCGGAAGGAACACCGGUGGCGAAAGCGGCGCGCUGGAUCUCUACUGACGCUGAGGCGCGAAAGCCAGGGGAGCAAACGGGA
Molecule: ribosomal RNA, 253 nt
Filed under: uncultured prokaryote
Description: partial 16S ribosomal RNA
Rfam family: Bacterial small subunit ribosomal RNA
Source: RNAcentral